Molecule: ribosomal RNA, 253 nt
Filed under: uncultured bacterium
Lineage: Bacteria
Description: partial 16S ribosomal RNA
Rfam family: Bacterial small subunit ribosomal RNA
Source: RNAcentral
UACAGGGGGUGCAAGCGUUACUCGGAAUCAUUGGGCGUAAAGAGCGUGUAGGUGGCUCGUUCAGUCAAAUGUGAAAUCCCUGGGCUCAAUCCAGGAACUGCAUUUGAUACUGGCAGGCUAGAGUACAGGAGAGGUAAGCGGAAUUCCUGGUGUAGAGGUGAAAUUCGUAGAUAUCAGGAGGAACAACAGUGGCGAAGGCGGCUUACUGGACUGUAACUGACACUUAGGCGCGAAAGCGUGGGGAGCAUACAGG